This 95-nucleotide microRNA precursor is filed under the name Tupaia belangeri (northern tree shrew). RNAcentral's name for it is "miRNA (ENSTBEG00000020486.1)". Lineage: Eukaryota; Metazoa; Chordata; Mammalia; Scandentia; Tupaiidae. The record is from RNAcentral.
AUCACCUGGGAAUCUUGUUAAGCUUGAAUUUGGUUGAGUAGGUCUGAGGUGGGGCCUGAGAUUCUGCAUUUCUAAUAAGGUCUCAUGGGAUGCAA